AUUGAACGCUGGCGGCAUGCCUUACACAUGCAAGUCGAACGGUAACAGGUCUUCGGAUGCUGACGAGUGGCAACGGGUGAGUAAUACAUCGGAACGUGCCCGAUCGUGGGGGAUAACGAGGCGAAAGCUUUGCUAAUACCGCAUACGAUCUACGGAUGAAAGCGGGGGAUCUUCGGACCUCGCGCGGACGGAGCGGCCGAUGGCAGAUUAGGUAGUUGGUGGGAUAAAAGCUUACCAAGCCGACGAUCUGUAGCUGGUCUGAGAGGAUGAUCAGCCACACUGGGACUGAGACACGGCCCAGACUCCUACGGGAGGCAGCAGUGGGGAAUUUUGGACAAUGGGCGAAAGCCUGAUCCAGCCAUGCCGCGUGCAGGAUGAAGGCCUUCGGGUUGUAAACUGCUUUUGUACGGAACGAAAAGCCUCUUUCUAAUAAAGAGGGGUCAUGACGGUACCGUAAGAAUAAGCACCGGCUAACUACGUG
This 481-nucleotide ribosomal RNA is filed under the name uncultured bacterium. RNAcentral describes it as "partial 16S ribosomal RNA". It matches the Rfam family "Bacterial small subunit ribosomal RNA", at positions 30 to 507 of the family's 1533-position model. The record is from RNAcentral.